AAUAUCCUUUUCCUAUCUUUAAACCAUUUGGCGUGUAGACCAGUUUUAUUAAUACAAAACAUAUUUUUCUAUUUUUUGGUGUAACUUUUGGGUGCGUUAUAUUGCUUUUAAUAGUGGCAUAGCGCUAUCUUCCAAAAUGUCACAGCGGACCCAAAAUUUCUAAAAAUAAUUUCAAUAUCUAAUGAUCUUCAUUGUAUAACGCCCACACAAAAGUGUAGGCUUAUAUGACAUGCACCCGUAACAUUUAUUAUGUUCACUUUUACAAUUUGGACCUUUUUUAUUUUGGACUUGAUUGGAAGAUUUCGAAACCGAAUAGGUAUUUAGUUAAACAUUUUGUUUACAUCUUGGCAAAGAGGAAAUCUGUGAUUCCAUUAAAAGUCUUUCUUUACAAAUGAUA
This is a long non-coding RNA of Drosophila pseudoobscura, 397 nucleotides long. RefSeq lists it as uncharacterized. The record is from RefSeq and is a predicted model, not a curated record. The transcript is spliced from 2 exons. NCBI's taxonomy places the organism in Eukaryota, Metazoa, Arthropoda, Insecta, Diptera, Drosophilidae.